Molecule: ribosomal RNA, 1527 nt
Filed under: Shigella sonnei
Lineage: Bacteria; Pseudomonadati; Pseudomonadota; Gammaproteobacteria; Enterobacterales; Enterobacteriaceae
Description: partial 23S ribosomal RNA
Rfam family: Bacterial large subunit ribosomal RNA
Source: RNAcentral
GCGUAGUCGAUGGGAAACAGGUUAAUAUUCCUGUACUUGGUGUUACUGCGAAGGGGGGACGGAGAAGGCUAUGUUGGCCGGGCGACGGUUGUCCCGGUUUAAGCGUGUAGGCUGGUUUUCCAGGCAAAUCCGGAAAAUCAAGGCUGAGGCGUGAUGACGAGGCACUACGGUGCUGAAGCAACAAAUGCCCUGCUUCCAGGAAAAGCCUCUAAGCAUCAGGUAACAUCAAAUCGUACCCCAAACCGACACAGGUGGUCAGGUAGAGAAUACCAAGGCGCUUGAGAGAACUCGGGUGAAGGAACUAGGCAAAAUGGUGCCGUAACUUCGGGAGAAGGCACGCUGAUAUGUAGGUGAAGUCCCUUGCGGAUGGAGCUGAAAUCAGUCGAAGAUACCAGCUGGCUGCAACUGUUUAUUAAAAACACAGCACUGUGCAAACACGAAAGUGGACGUAUACGGUGUGACGCCUGCCCGGUGCCGGAAGGUUAAUUGAUGGGGUCAGCGCAAGCGAAGCUCUUGAUCGAAGCCCCGGUAAACGGCGGCCGUAACUAUAACGGUCCUAAGGUAGCGAAAUUCCUUGUCGGGUAAGUUCCGACCUGCACGAAUGGCGUAAUGAUGGCCAGGCUGUCUCCACCCGAGACUCAGUGAAAUUGAACUCGCUGUGAAGAUGCAGUGUACCCGCGGCAAGACGGAAAGACCCCGUGAACCUUUACUAUAGCUUGACACUGAACAUUGAGCCUUGAUGUGUAGGAUAGGUGGGAGGCUUUGAAGUGUGGACGCCAGUCUGCAUGGAGCCGGCCUUGAAAUACCACCCUUUAAUGUUUGAUGUUCUAACGUGGACCCGUGAUCCGGGUUGCGGACAGUGUCUGGUGGGUAGUUUGACUGGGGCGGUCUCCUCCUAAAGAGUAACGGAGGAGCACGAAGGUUGGCUAAUCCUGGUCGGACAUCAGGAGGUUAGUGCAAUGGCAUAAGCCAGCUUGACUGCGAGCGUGACGGCGCGAGCAGGUGCGAAAGCAGGUCAUAGUGAUCCGGUGGUUCUGAAUGGAAGGGCCAUCGCUCAACGGAUAAAAGGUACUCCGGGGAUAACAGGCUGAUACCGCCCAAGAGUUCAUAUCGACGGCGGUGUUUGGCACCUCGAUGUCGGCUCAUCACAUCCUGGGGCUGAAGUAGGUCCCAAGGGUAUGGCUGUUCGCCAUUUAAAGUGGUACGCGAGCUGGGUUUAGAACGUCGUGAGACAGUUCGGUCCCUAUCUGCCGUGGGCGCUGGAGAACUGAGGGGGGCUGCUCCUAGUACGAGAGGACCGGAGUGGACGCAUCACUGGUGUUCGGGUUGUCAUGCCAAUGGCACUGCCCGGUAGCUAAAUGCGGAAGAGAUAAGUGCUGAAAGCAUCUAAGCACGAAACUUGCCCCGAGAUGAGUUCUCCCUGACCCUUUAAGGGUCCUGAAGGAACGUUGAAGACGACGACGUUGAUAGGCCGGGUGUGUAAGCGCAGCGAUGCGUUGAGCUAACCGGUACUAAUGAACCGUGAGG